GGUUAAGCGACUAAGCGUACACGGUGGAUGCCCUGGCAGUCAGAGGCGAUGAAGGACGUGCUAAUCUGCGAAAAGCGUCGGUAAGGUGAUAUGAACCGUUAUAACCGGCGAUGUCCGAAUGGGGAAACCCAGUGUGAUUCGUCACACUAUCGUUAACUGAAUACAUAGGUUAACGAGGCGAACCGGGGGAACUGAAACAUCUAAGUACCCCGAGGAAAAGAAAUCAACCGAGAUUCCCCCAGUAGCGGCGAGCGAACGGGGAGCAGCCCAGAGUCUGAAUCAGCUUGUGUGUUAGUGGAACGGUCUGGAAAGUCCGACGGUACAGGGUGAUAGUCCCGUACACCAAAAUGCACAGGUUGUGAACUCGAAGAGUAGGGCGGGACACGUGGUAUCCUGUCUGAAUAUGGGGGGACCAUCCUCCAAGGCUAAAUACUCCUGACUGACCGAUAGUGAACCAGUACCGUGAGGGAAAGGCGAAAAGAACCCCGGCGAGGGGAGUGAAAAAGAACCUGAAACCGUGUACGUACAAGCAGUGGGAGCACCUUCGGGUGUGACUGCGUACCUUUUGUAUAAUGGGUCAGCGACUUAUAUUCUGUAGCAAGGUUAACCGUAUAGGGGAGCCGCAGGGAAACCGAGUCUUAACUGGGCGUUAAGUUGCAGGGUAUAGACCCGAAACCCGGUGAUCUAGCCAUGGGCAGGUUGAAGGUUGGGUAACACUAACUGGAGGACCGAACCGACUAAUGUUGAAAAAUUAGCGGAUGACUUGUGGCUGGGGGUGAAAGGCCAAUCAAACCGGGAGAUAGCUGGUUCUCCCCGAAAGCUAUUUAGGUAGCGCCUCGUGAACUCAUCUUCGGGGGUAGAGCACUGUUUCGGCUAGGGGGUCAUCCCGACUUACCAACCCGAUGCAAACUACGAAUACCGAAGAAUGUUAUCACGGGAGACACACGGCGGGUGCUAACGUCCGUCGUGAAGAGGGAAACAACCCAGACCGCCAGCUAAGGUCCCAAAGUCAUGGUUAAGUGGGAAACGAUGUGGGAAGGCACAGACAGCCAGGAUGUUGGCUUAGAAGCAGCCAUCAUUUAAAGAAAGCGUAAUAGCUCACUGGUCGAGUCGGCCUGCGCGGAAGAUGUAACGGGGCUAAACCAUGCACCGAAGCUGCGGCAGCGACACUAUGUGUUGUUGGGUAGGGGAGCGUUCUGUAAGCCUGCGAAGGUGACCUGUGAGGGUUGCUGGAGGUAUCAGAAGUGCGAAUGCUGACAUAAGUAACGAUAAAGCGGGUGAAAAGCCCGCUCGCCGGAAGACCAAGGGUUCCUGUCCAACGUUAAUCGGGGCAGGGUGAGUCGACCCCUAAGGCGAGGCCGAAAGGCGUAGUCGAUGGGAAACAGGUUAAUAUUCCUGUACUUGGUGUUACUGCGAAGGGGGGACGGAGAAGGCUAUGUUAGCCGGGCGACGGUUGUCCCGGUUUAAGCAUGUAGGCUGAUUGUCCAGGCAAAUCCGGAUAAUCAAGGCUGAGGUGUGAUGACGAGGCACUACGGUGCUGAAGUAACAAAUGCCCUGCUUCCAGGAAAAGCCUCUAAGCAUCAGGUAACAUCAAAUCGUACCCCAAACCGACACAGGUGGUCAGGUAGAGAAUACCAAGGCGCUUGAGAGAACUCGGGUGAAGGAACUAGGCAAAAUGGUGCCGUAACUUCGGGAGAAGGCACGCUGGUGUGUAGGUGAAGUCCCUGCGGAUGGAGCUGAGACCAGUCGAAGAUACCAGCUGGCUGCAACUGUUUAUUAAAAACACAGCACUGUGCAAACACGAAAGUGGACGUAUACGGUGUGACGCCUGCCCGGUGCCGGAAGGUUAAUUGAUGGGGUUAUCCGUAAGGAGAAGCUCUUGAUCGAAGCCCCGGUAAACGGCGGCCGUAACUAUAACGGUCCUAAGGUAGCGAAAUUCCUUGUCGGGUAAGUUCCGACCUGCACGAAUGGCGUAAUGAUGGCCAGGCUGUCUCCACCCGAGACUCAGUGAAAUUGAACUCGCUGUGAAGAUGCAGUGUACCCGCGGCAAGACGGAAAGACCCCGUGAACCUUUACUAUAGCUUGACACUGAACAUUGAGCCUUGAUGUGUAGGAUAGGUGGGAGGCUUUGAAGCGUGGACGCCAGUCUGCGUGGAGCCAACCUUGAAAUACCACCCUUUAAUGUUUGAUGUUCUAACGUUGGCCCCUUACCGGGGUUGCGGACAGUGUCUGGUGGGUAGUUUGACUGGGGCGGUCUCCUCCCAAAGCGUAACGGAGGAGCACGAAGGUUAGCUAAUCCUGGUCGGACAUCAGGAGGUUAGUGCAAUGGCAUAAGCUAGCUUGACUGCGAGCGUGACGGCGCGAGCAGGUGCGAAAGCAGGUCAUAGUGAUCCGGUGGUUCUGAAUGGAAGGGCCAUCGCUCAACGGAUAAAAGGUACUCCGGGGAUAACAGGCUGAUACCGCCCAAGAGUUCAUAUCGACGGCGGUGUUUGGCACCUCGAUGUCGGCUCAUCACAUCCUGGGGCUGAAGUAGGUCCCAAGGGUAUGGCUGUUCGCCAUUUAAAGUGGUACGCGAGCUGGGUUUAGAACGUCGUGAGACAGUUCGGUCCCUAUCUGCCGUGGGCGCUGGAGAAUUGAGGGGGGCUGCUCCUAGUACGAGAGGACCGGAGUGGACGCAUCACUGGUGUUCGGGUUGUCAUGCCAAUGGCACUGCCCGGUAGCUAAAUGCGGAAGAGAUAAGUGCUGAAAGCAUCUAAGCACGAAACUUGCCCCGAGAUGAGUUCUCCCUGAGACUUUAAGUCUCCUGAAGGAACGUU
Molecule: ribosomal RNA, 2816 nt
Filed under: Klebsiella pneumoniae
Lineage: Bacteria; Pseudomonadati; Pseudomonadota; Gammaproteobacteria; Enterobacterales; Enterobacteriaceae
Also listed under: 1 other name
Description: partial 23S ribosomal RNA
Rfam family: Bacterial large subunit ribosomal RNA
Source: RNAcentral